This 348-nucleotide small RNA is filed under the name Histoplasma capsulatum var. duboisii H88. RNAcentral describes it as "Histoplasma capsulatum H88 hypothetical RNA". Lineage: Eukaryota; Fungi; Ascomycota; Eurotiomycetes; Onygenales; Ajellomycetaceae. The record is from RNAcentral.
UUGGGGCCCGGAGAGUGCGGAGCGGGUAUGGUAGUUGGUAGUUGGUAGUCUUGAAGGGAUCCUACUUCCGCCUGCUCGGGUAGUUCCAGGUGAGUUGAGGGAGCACAGGCAUAGUUAGAGAAGAAAAGCUGCGGCUGUAUACAUGUUGCACAGUACUAGUACGUAUGAGCCAGUGGCCCGUGGGGCAACGAACUAUCUGCGAAUCGCCCUUCUCUGUGUGUAAAGCAACAGGAAAAAGGGAGUAUAGGAGCGUGUCGCCUGUCACUACAUUCGAUUUAUGUAGGUACAGAGUGACAUGAGGAAGUAGAGCAGGGGAGGUUCGAUGUUGAUCAUGCAUGUACGCAAGGG